This is a small nuclear RNA of Zalophus californianus (California sea lion), 103 nucleotides long. Lineage: Eukaryota; Metazoa; Chordata; Mammalia; Carnivora; Otariidae. The record is from Ensembl.
GCACUCGUUUCAGUAGCACAUAGACUAAAACUGGAAUGACACAGAGAUUAGCAGUCCCCUGUACAAGGAUGACGCACAAAUUCACGAAGCGUUCCGUAUUAAA